Molecule: small RNA, 131 nt
Filed under: Pseudoalteromonas ulvae
Lineage: Bacteria; Pseudomonadati; Pseudomonadota; Gammaproteobacteria; Alteromonadales; Pseudoalteromonadaceae
Source: RNAcentral
AGAAGAAAAAACGCCUAGGACUAAUCCAAAUUGUCCUAGGCAUAGGGGAAUGGCUCAUAAUGAGCCGUGCGCUAACUCAAAAAUAUUUCACAAACUUUAGGGAGAAGUGAAAGUAACAUUAAGUGUAGUUA